AGCGAACGUUAGCGGCGGGCCUAAUACAUGCAAGUCGAACGCGAACACCUUCGGGUUAGUAGAGUGGCGCACGGGUGAGUAACACGUAGGUAAUCUACCCUCUGGCGGGGGACAACGUUCCGAAAGGAACGCUAAUACCGCGUAAGACCACGGCUUCUGCGGAAGCAGUGGGAAAAGGUGGCCUCUCCUUGGAAGCUACCGCCAGAGGAUGAGCCUGCGCCCCAUCAGCUAGUUGGUAAGGUAACGGCUUACCAAGGCGAAGACGGGUAGCUGGUCUGAGAGGAUGAUCAGCCACACUGGCACUGGAACACGGGCCAGACUCCUACGGGAGGCAGCAGUAAGGAAUCUUGGGCAAUGGGCGAAAGCCUGACCCAGCCACGCCGCGUGAGUGAUGAAGGCCUUCGGGUUGUAAAGCUCUGUGGGGAAGGACGAAAAAGCCAGCUUCGAAUAGGGGCAGGCCUUGACGGUACUUCCUUAGCAAGCACCGGCUAACUCUGUGCCAGCCGCCGCCGUAACAC
This 518-nucleotide ribosomal RNA is filed under the name uncultured bacterium. RNAcentral's name for it is "bacterial SSU rRNA". It matches the Rfam family "Bacterial small subunit ribosomal RNA", at positions 29 to 526 of the family's 1533-position model. The record is from RNAcentral.